This 970-nucleotide long non-coding RNA is filed under the name Mus musculus (house mouse). RNAcentral describes it as "predicted gene 12295". Lineage: Eukaryota; Metazoa; Chordata; Mammalia; Rodentia; Muridae. The record is from RNAcentral.
ACAGGCAGUUUUCUUUCUGCACAACAACACGGCUGAAGGACGGCUUGGUGGAGGCAGACUCCGUUUCCUAAGGGCUUAUCCCAAGUUAGAGUUCAGAGGGAAGGGAAUAGAACGCGACUUGUCCACCAAACAAAAUAUGCGUGUUACUACAGUUGUAUGUAGUGGUCAGGCAAAAAGAAAAUCAGAACUUCCAAAGCUGGAGUGUCAGGUGGUUGUGAACUACUCAACCUGGUUCCUGGGAACCAAACUCAGGUCCUCCGCCAAAGGAGCACAUGCACUUAGCCACUGAGUCAUCUCUGAAGUCCCAGAAACCUCUGAAUGCCCAGGUGACAAGACCAAGGCUGAGAGACUAGGAAAGGGCUAAGAAUCUGAGUCACUGGCUGAGCAAACUACAGGUCAAUGGUGGACCUUCUCAAAAGCAAUACAUAAAUGAUCGAGGAACAAAAGCAUCACAUCAUCAACUUUUGCCCUCCACAACUGCCUACAGAGAAUUGGAGAAUUUCUAUUUACCCAGAAGUAAAUAUUAUGAAGAAAACAUUGGGCUGCUCAAAAGUAGACCUAGGAAAAUGCAGAUGUAGUUUUUGUUAGAAUCAAUUGCACAAUGGACUCUGCAUACUAAUAAGUUGAGAUUUCUUUGAAAUACAGUAUAGAGAUUAAGUUCUUCACAACUCCUCACCUGCCUAGUUGAUCAGCCCAGCCAUUCUUUCCAUUUAUCUUCUGCAAUCAAGAGAAACUCUUCUGGACAAAAAGAUGUCCUCUGCAGAUGGCACCAGUCAAAAGAACCCAGUAAACACCAAACCUUGGUCUGCAGGACAAAACACAACCCUUCCUGAGGGUCAGUUCCUUGGAUGUGACUGGAGUUGCUCCAGAUAUUACAAUUAAAAUAAGGGCAUUCAUUACAUUAUAUUCCCUGUGAAUGUUCAUUAAAGUAAAAGAGGUAGAGGAGGUGAAGGAGGAGGAAGAAGGGGAG